RNAcentral lists this ribosomal RNA (642 nucleotides) under Eobania vermiculata. RNAcentral's name for it is "Massylaea vermiculata partial 12S small subunit ribosomal RNA". The record is from RNAcentral. Lineage: Eukaryota; Metazoa; Mollusca; Gastropoda; Stylommatophora; Helicidae.
CCAAAAAUGGUGUACCUUUAAAGAUCUUAAAUUGUUGUGCUCCCUUUACUCGAUGCACCUCAUCAUGGAAGGUAAACCUUCGCCAGUUGAAAAUUUUUGUUACCUAGGAAACUAGGGCCAUGGUUCCAUUUUACCCGUGACUAAUAACGUGCCAGCAGUCGCGGUCAUACGUUAACUAGCAGCAAAGUCGCAAAGAAUGGUUUAACGCUUAUUUUUAUUUAAUAGUGAAAUAUAUUUUAAAUGUUACUACAUCUUUUAUUAUUUUAACAACUGACUACAAACAAGGAUUAGAUACCCUUUUAUGCAGUUAUUUUUAUAUCCUCAUUCUGGGUACUACAAUAGUAAAUUCAAACUCAAGCAACAUGGCGGCACUAAUAAUCUUUAGGGGAACUUACUAGGUAAUUGAUAACCACCACGUUAAUGCACUUCAGCUUAUAUUUUACAUACCGUCGUCGUCGACAUCCUAUGAUAGAAUGUCCAACUAUCUUUACCUACCAAGACAGAUCAAGGUGUAGACCAUGCUGAAGACUCAGCGAGUUACUAUAAUAACUUUUUCCAAAUUCAUCUUUUAAUAGCUGUUAUUUGUCGGACUUAAAAGUAAUAUAGACUAUAUAUAAUAUAUGAAUGUAACUAUUAUUGUGC